This 490-nucleotide ribosomal RNA is filed under the name uncultured bacterium. RNAcentral's name for it is "partial 16S ribosomal RNA". It matches the Rfam family "Bacterial small subunit ribosomal RNA", at positions 30 to 507 of the family's 1533-position model. The record is from RNAcentral.
AUUGAACGCUGGCGGCAGGCCUAACACAUGCAAGUCGAACGGUAACAGGAAGAAGAUUGCUUCUUUGCUGACGAGUGGCGGACGGGUGAGUAAUGUCUGGGAAACUGCCUGAUGGAGGGGGAUAACUACUGGAAACGGUAGCUAAUACCGCAUAACGUCGCAAGACCAAAAAGGGGGACCUUCGGGCCUCUUGCCAUCGGAUGUGCCCAGAUGGGAUUAGCUAGUAGGUGGGGUAACGGCUCACCUAGGCGACGAUCCCUAGCUGGUCUGAGAGGAUGACCAGCCACACUGGAACUGAGACACGGUCCAGACUCCUACGGGAGGCAGCAGUGGGGAAUAUUGCACAAUGGGCGCAAGCCUGAUGCAGCCAUGCCGCGUGUAUGAAGAAGGCCUUCGGGUUGUAAAGUACUUUCAGCGGGGAGGAAGGGAGUAAAGUUAAUACCUUUGCUCAUUGACGUUACCCGCAGAAGAAGCACCGGCUAACUCCGUG